GAGGCACUCACGGCUAGGGUUUUGUGGUCGGAUGUGGGUGGGGUUAUUUAUACCCUUCACCUUUUAAUCUCAACUGUCCAUCUAGAUUAAAUCUGGACCGUCCGAUCACGAUUUAUUUGGGAUUAAAUCUGGGCCGUCCAUGGCGAUGUGAUUUGCGCCGUCUGUGCCUGAUUGAAUAUGGGCCGUCUGUACCCGUGAGAUCUGGACCAUCCGUGCGCACAUUUGAUCUGGGCUA
RNAcentral lists this long non-coding RNA (235 nucleotides) under Carica papaya (papaya). Its description in RNAcentral is "long non-coding RNA (CPAP_LNC016063)". The record is from RNAcentral. Lineage: Eukaryota; Viridiplantae; Streptophyta; Magnoliopsida; Brassicales; Caricaceae.